GUGUUUUAAUUGGAUUCUGGUAUGAAUGGUUGGAUGAGGAAUUUACUUUCUUUGAUUUAUUUUAAAAAUUUAACUUCUAAGUCAAAAGGCUUAGAUGAUAUUGUAGGACGAGAAGACCCUAUAGAGCUUUAUUAUAAAAGUGGAAUGAUUUUUGGAAAAUAUAUUUUUGUUUUAGGAAUUAUAAUUUUGUUGGGGUGACAAAAAAAAAAUUAUAACUUUUUUUAUUUAUUUCAUUUAUAGAUGAAUAUUUGACCCUUUUUUAUGGGAAAAAAGAUCAAGCUACCUUAGGGAUAACAGCGUUAUUAUUUUGGAGAGUUCAUAUUGAUAAAAUAGUUUGCGACCUCGAUGUUGAAUUAAAAAUGGUUUUAGGAGUAGAAGAUUAAUUGACUGGGUCUGUUCGACCUUUAAAUUUUUACA
This 417-nucleotide ribosomal RNA is filed under the name Wygomiris indochinensis. RNAcentral's name for it is "partial large subunit ribosomal RNA". The stretch from base 76 to 417 matches the Rfam family "Bacterial large subunit ribosomal RNA", at positions 2048 to 2600 of the family's 2925-position model. Lineage: Eukaryota; Metazoa; Arthropoda; Insecta; Hemiptera; Miridae. The record is from RNAcentral.